RNAcentral lists this long non-coding RNA (15460 nucleotides) under Mytilus galloprovincialis (Mediterranean mussel). Lineage: Eukaryota; Metazoa; Mollusca; Bivalvia; Mytilida; Mytilidae. The record is from RNAcentral.
AUGUAUAUAAAAAUGUCAACCUUGAUAAAGUAAUUCUGACACAGGAGGAGAUAAAAAAAUCUAGUUCGCAUAAGUUACUAAAUUGUUUGAACUGUCAACAAGAGAUAAUUGGGGCUCCAGUAUAGGGGUUGUCUCCCUUCAAGUGGCAGGUGCUUGUGUAAAGAUUAUAAAGGAGAAAAGUGAAAGUGCAUAAAGGAAAGUAAAGUCGUGAAGGAGGGACUAAAAUUAUGUAAUGUUGUAAGGUAAAACUGACAUCAGAUCGUGUGACGUCCUCUCUCACCUGGUGUACCCUCGACACAAUUUAAAACUUGACUCGAAUUUCAGACCGAAAGUUUAAUUCAGUGGAUACCUGUGCAUUGUAUAAGUGUAAUCUGGAGUAUCAGAUUUACAGCUUUAUAAGGACUUAAAUGAUGUAAAGGUCAAAUUACGGUGUUAUAUUGCUAGUCCGACAGGUAUUAACUUUGAUACAAAUUAAGGAUCUAAUUGACAUCGCCUCAGGGGAUUCACCCAAGGGAAUGUACAUACCUAGGGGGUGUAAUUUCAUGGAUAAAGUGUGUGGCUAAAUACAUUAAGUGUGUAAUUACUCAUCAAGGACAAUUUUUAGUUUGUCACAACUUUUUUUGGACUGUAAUUUAUUGGAACAUAUGUUUUGUCUUUGUGCAUGAGGUAAUGUAGUCAUUUGUCAUCGUCAAAAUUCCUAAUGAAAUAUUGUAUGUUGGCUUAAUUUGGAGAAAGUUUGAAAACGUUUUGGAAAUUGAAUAACAAACUAUAGUUUUGGGAAUUUAACAUCACUCUAAUGGAUAAUUUUGUAAGUUGAUUACUAAUUUGAACUAUAUGUAAAAUGAGUUCCAGACCAAAAACUCUUUCUUCAACUUCUCGUCUCACAGCAACGCGGACAUCAAAAUCUCCAACCUCACCAUACCCAGGGGAGGCCUCAAAGCGUUCACAGUUUGGAUCUGUGACGUCCAAGACUUCAGUAAAAGAUGGGACUAAAACAAGGAAACUCUCAGAUGAUAAAUCUAGUUCUAGCUCACUUAGAUCUUCAACUAGUUCUAUUGAGACCACAGACCUUCAUAUUUCUGAGGAAAAACCUAAUGUUCCUCCAAAACGGACUAGUUUUAGUGGAGCAGAUCAGAAACCUAAAGUUACCACCCCUGAGGACAAAUCAUCAUCUUUCUUAAUUAAAAAAAGGAAUAGUUUAAGAAAGACUGAAGCGACUGGUGAAAGGUCUUAUAUUCCCAGAAAAUCCAAUAGCUUUAAAGCGGAAGAUAUCACAAGUACUGCUGAAAAAUUCCGAGGUGCUUCUUCAGCUCGUAAAACAAGUAUUGAAAGCUCAAUUAAAACUGAAUCAAAUAUCCCCAGUAGAAAGAAAGUCAAUGGAGUUAACAGUGAAACGAUAUUAUCAAAUCAAUCCAGUGUGACUCACACAUCUUCUAAUGAUAUUAAUGGUAAAAGUCAGGCACAUUCAAAUAUUAUUGUUUCUAAUAAAGUUGAGUCAGACACUGAGAAGCUUUCGUCUGAAACAAACGUUUCCUCUAUUGUUACAUCUGGCCAUGUAGAAAUUCAGACUCAGCAACGAAAACGAAUGGACGACUUACCGACGGAAUCAUGUCUGUCAGACAAACCAAAAGUUUUUUUGCAGGUGGGUAGAAUUUGGUUUUGUAUUUUUGCAUCAAUAUUUUUUAAGAUUCUUUUUAAAGGCAAUACAUAAUGCACACCUGCUCUUAGUAAAUCAAUAAACUGCAGCUAAGGGAAAUUUGAUAUUUUUAGUACAUUGAUUGUAUUAUAAUUUACUCUUUGUUCUGCUUUUGGCUUGCUUCUUAGGCUUCUUUUUGCAUGUUAAGAUAUAGGAGACAUUCAUUCUAAACCUACAUGAAUAUUUAUUUUUUUCCUGACUGUUGUGCAUGAAUUUUUAAUCGGAAAUGAAACAACUUUGUUUAUGUUUGAUCAUUGAUUUUCUCUCUUAGAAGAUUAAACAUGGAAGCACUCUUAAUCUUACACAUAUCCUAAUCUGUUUUACAGAUUAAAGUGUAAAAUGGAUAAGCUGAUUUAAUUGAGGGGCUUAUAAGGAUAAGAAAAUUGUGUAAGAUGUAUUACUUAACCCUUAGUAAUUGAGAGAGUGAAUUAUCCCCCCCCCCUUUUUUUUGCUAUGUAACAAUAGCAUAUACAGCUUCAUUAAUUAUAUAUUCUGCCUUUGAUACCUCUGUGUAAUGUACUUUUUGAAUUUAUUUAACUCUCUUAAUUACAUAAAGUGACAAUUGUUUUUUUCUUUUAAAGGUUUGCCUUAUUAGAGAGGGACUAUUGUAGUCCUUAAAUGGGUUGCAAACAAAGAGAAAUUAUGCAUGUUUAUAAUACUGUUCAUGGUUAUGUAUUAAUCAUAUAAAGAAACAUGAAAGAAUGCCACAAAUUGAAAUACAAAUGUUGUAGGAUUUGACUAUAAUAAAGUGAUUUAGUAUAAAUUUGCAUUUUUCACCUUUAAAUAUGCAAAAAAUAUCAGAAAUUUGAUAUGCAUAGUUUAAACAAUUGACAUUUAUAGGAGCUCUGAGUGGAGUGGUUUGUUGACAAACCGAAAUAGUUAUAUUUGACAGAAACACAAUUACAUGGUUGUACUAUUUCAUCUCAAUCUGGAUGUGUAUAAAAUAUAUACUAUGGGUGGGGUUGGUAUAAUGAAUAAUAUUUUUGGCCUCGGUCAGAGCAGUGGACAAGACUGUUUGUCAGAAAAUUAUUUUUUACCGUCGAUUAUUAUAUUAAAAAAGUAAUCACUACUAUCACAGAGAACAUUUGAAGGUUUUAAGAUAAUUAACUUUGUAGAAAAUAUGUGUAGAUAAACAAAAAGUAAGCCUAAAUAUGGUAGUGAAGUUGCAGUAAAAAAUGGUCAGAUGGACUAUAGUAUAUAAUCACUCACUUAGGGCAGUGAUGAAGUAUCAUGGCAUGAUUCAUAAGAUAUAUUUUGUCUGCAAUUUUCUUACGUUGCAAGAGAUCAAAUACUAAAUAAGAACCUAAAACUCUUUUAACAAGUGUCAACCAUUAUGAGUCAAAUUGACAGUCGGACCUUGGUGUAAAGCAUAUCCAACCAUGGUUAGACCAUGGUUAUCAAUUAAUGGUGAGCAUCAUGGUAAUCAUUGUCAACCAUGCUUGCAUCAAUCAUAUUGACAACAAUAUACUGGUACUUUAUUAGGGCCUCGCCUUUAGGCGGGUACCCUAUAGUGAUCAGUCUGUCCGUCCGUCCAUCCGUCCGUCCGUCCGUCCGUAACACUUUUGUGUCCACUCCAUAUCUAGAGAACCAUUAUGAUUUCAUACUUUAUACUUUACAUGUUUAUUAACCACCACCAGAGGGCGUGUCAUGAUGUAUGUGCAACUUCCUAGGUCAAAGGUCAAGGUAAAAAAAACUUUGGUUUCAGUUGACAACCCUGUGUCCUGUGGUGAAGAUCGUGUCCGCUCUAUAUCUUGAGAACCGUUAUGAUUUCAAAGUUUAUACUUGACAUGUAUAUGAACCAACACCAGAGGGUGUGUCAUAAUUUAUGAACGACUGCCUAGGGCAAAGUUCAAGGUCAAAAACUUUGGUUUCAGUUGACAACCCCAUGUCCUAUGGUAAAGAUUGUGUCCGCUCUAUAUCUUGAGAACCGUUAUCAUUUUGAAGUUUAUACCUGAAAUGUAUAUAAACCAAUAUCAGAGGGUAUGUCAUAAUUUAUGUACAACUUCCUAGGUCAAAGGUCAAGGUCAAAAACUUUGGUUUCAGUUGACAACCCCAUGUCCUAUGGUAAAGAUCAUGUCUGCACUAUAUCUUGAGAACUGUUAUCAUUUCAAAGUUUAUACUUGACAUGUAUAUAAACCAACACCAAAGGGUGUGUCAUAAUUUAUGUGCAACUUCCUAGGUCAAAGGUCAAGGUCAAAAACUUUGGUUUCAGUUGAAAUACCCAUGUCCUAUGGUAAAGAUACAAUUUUUUAAUGCACAUUAUUCACAGCGGGGCCCACAGAGAUGGCUCCCAUCUCAAUGAUAUCUAGUUUCAUUUACAAAUUGUCUGUACCAAGUCCUGAACAGAAGAUGAUAAACGGCCUCCAAUUGUACCAAUGAUAAUCGGAUCAGUGUAUGCUAUAUUGCUUGAAAUCACCCAGUAUAUAAGGGACUUUGUUCUUGCCAAGUUUUGUAGAAUUUAUGUAGAAGUUUAGUAUAUAUUUGUUAUUCCUUUUUGUGGAGGUUAACACAAUUUGGAUGAUUUAAGAUGUAGGAAGAAAGAAAAACACACAAAAAGUUUAAUCCUCUUAAGUAAAUUAAUAACUGUGACAUAUAUCCUAUUUCAGUUAUUUGUUACCUCUAAGUUCUCCUUUGUUACUCAUUUAAAUUUUCUUUACAAAAUCCAUGCAGAUUUUUGCUUGGGUCAGAUUUCAUUUCAACAAUUACAAUGAUGUUAUUUGAAAAGAUUUGAAAAGAUAAUGUGUGGUAAUGGAGGGCGAAAAAGUAACUGAUAUAAAAAGAUGACUAGAAAUCUUAGGUUACAACCAUUCAGAAAUGAAACAAUAUGCAUAAUUUUUCACAAUAUUGUCUAGUUUUCACAUAGUUUGAAGUGUUAUAAUCAGAAUUUAAAUUUAAUUGGAGAAGAUCUAUACAAUAAAACUGUUACCAAUACUGUACAUUAUAGCUAAUAAUACAAAAAAAAUGAUACAUGUAAUACAAAUUUAUUAUCUUUCUUAUGCAUAACCUCCUGGCUCCAACCAAGCCCAUGGUUUAUUGUGGUCUACCAUGUUUGCUUUGAGUCACAUUUAUUUCUGGACAAAUCCAGACCCUAUAUUUGAAAAGAAAGAGGUGUACCCAUAGAAUUUAUUAAAGACAACAAUCCUUAAGAAUACUGGAAAAUACAAUUAAAGAAUUAACCUCAGUUUAUCGCUGUUCUUCAUUUUGAGAGUUACUUGAAAGUUCUCAACAAAGAUCCUAUUUAUAGUCAGACGAGAAAGAAAGUGUUCUGUUUUGUAGUAACAUAAUAUAUACCAACCCUUCUGCCCAAUUUAUUACUUACAACACCUUAUAUGAAAUAUUUAAUGCCCACCUGCUCAGAUGCAUGUGUGGUCUUUGUUUGUUUGUUUUUUUAUUGACAAACAUGAUCCCAUACCUGUUAUAUAAGUUGAUUAUCCUUGUAAGUGACUCAAUAAAUUUUAUAGUAUAGUUAUUAUGUUUAAUUUUGGCAUGUAAAGUGAAUGAAGGGUAGACUUUAGUUAAAUAUCAAGGGGGCGAAAAUUGAAUUUAUAACAAUCAUAAAUUUAAAUAUAACAGAACAAAUCUUAGUGUUUAAAGAGAUUUGUAACAUUUAGAGAUUGGGGUAUAUAAUGGGAUUGUUUGUAGUAAUAUAUGGAUAUAUGACUAUUCAGGAUUCAAGGAAAAUGAUUGAUCCUUUUUAAACUGCAAAAUUGGGAUAGGGUAAAGUUUUCCUCUGAAAGUGGAAUCAAAACCGAGAGUUAAAUCAGUGAAAUAUUUUUGAAGUCUGACCAAAGUCAAAAUACACAGGCACUCGAAUUUUUUCUCCCCUGUAUAUAAAGGUAUUAACCCCGCCACAUUUUUACGCCUGUCCCAAGUCAGGAGCCUCUGGCCUUUGUUAGUCUUGUAUUAUUUUAAUUUUAGUUUCUUGUGUACAAUUUGGAAAUUAGAAUGGCGUUCAUUAUCACUGAACUAGUAUAUAUUUGUUUAGGGGCCAGCUGAAGGACGCCUCCGGGUGCGGGAAUUUCUCGCUACAUUGAAGACCUGUUGGUGACCUUCUGCUGCUGUUUUUUUCUAUGGUCGGGUUGUUGUCUCUUUGGCACAUUCCCCAUUUCCAUUCUCAAUUUUAAUAUAGGAAUUUUUUUUCCUGUUUAUUUGAAAUCUAACUUCUCUUAUAAUCCAUUCUUUUCAAAUGCAAUUUUUCAUUGUUAGAGCUCCACCUUACGGUUCAUGAGAAACCUACUCCUCCCCCUUAAACUUAAGCAGUUUCAUUUCAAGUAUAAACAAUGCCCAUCUGUCAACAUAUCUGUUUCAUCACUGUAAAGUCUUUGUGUACAUAAUCUACGAAUCCUUAUCUCUCUCUGAGCAGGUGACUAACAAAAUUUCUCAUGGAAUAUGUGUACAAAUCUUGGCACGUCUGCACCAAAAGUCUUUGAUGUAGAUUAUGAUAUAUUAUCAUCUAUACAUACACUUAACUUCUUCCUGAUAUACUUGUGAAGUCUGGGCGUCAUCUUAUUGGUUUUGAAAAAAAUAUAUGUUUUUGCCAUUUUUUGAUAAAAAAGGCGGCCGUCUGCUGAGGUUUUUCGGUAAAUGUCAAUCAUUAUUGAUAGUUUAUGGAAUAUUAAUUAUUGUUCAUUAAUUUUGUGGGGGAGGAGUGUAGAGCGUUACAGACAUGGAUGAACUGGUAAGAUUGUUCUCAGUUAGUAUUACUUCCUUGUUUACAAGUACUCUUUAAAUCUUUUAAUUACCAAUUAAAAUGUAAACGUAAAAUAUAUGUUAGAAACAAAACAUACUUACAACUAUUUUUUGUGUGUGUAAAGAAGCAGCCUUGAAUGAGGUUGAUAUGCCCACAUUUAUAUAUGUAUAAAUUAUAUAAAUAAAUGUAAGAUUUCUUUAUUUUGAUGGAAAAACGUAAUUUAGAUGACUAUAUAAAUUCAGCAGGUUUUGAGUGAAGAUAGUGAAGUCAUUUUGAUGCCAAUGUAUUAUCAUCAGAAGAGCAAAAAAAUUGCUUUCUAUUUGGUAUGGCACGCUCCCAUCAAGGGGCCUGGGAAUCAACAUGCAAACCAAGGCCUUCCUGUUAUUCAUGCUAGGUAGAGAUAUGGAAACAUAUCAGACAUGUAAUAAGGAAAUUAAUUGACCAAAUCACAAAUCUGCAGUCUGCACUUACAUUACCCUAUUAAAAUAAUAAAUAACCUGUAUGUAUGUAUAUAUGUAACUGGCACACUUCACAUGUUUAAACUAGUCAUAAUCAUUAAGAACACAGCAGGAGGCUUUAAUUUGUUAACAAAUAAUUCACUGUGAGGGCAUAGAGAAUAGAAUUUUGAAACUGGCAAUUAUACAACAAUGGAUAAAACUGUUUUGUUUUGCAUUAUUUUCCUUUAUGAGGAGGCAGAUAGUUUAGUGGUCAAAGACAGCUAGGAAAAUUAAAGUUAUACUGGUCCAAAUUACCAUUCCUGAGUUCAAGUGUAUCAUGUAUAUAAUCAGUAAUAUAAGUGGAAUUUAAAUGAAGAUAUAUAUAAACAUUGAAAUUGAUGUAUAAAUAUAAUAAAAUUUUAAAUACAGAGAAUUGCACUGGCAGAUCCAGAACUUUUUGUUUGAGGGGGCUCACGGACUGACCUAAGGAGGAACCUGCUCCAGUCAUGCUUCAGUGAUUCCCUAUAUAUUAUAAUUAACCAAAUUUUUCUCACAAAAAGGGGUGGGGCAAGGGUCUCCCCCUUGGAUUUGCCUAUGAAUGGUUUUAUAUCUUAAAAUUUGAAGGUUAAGAAGAGAGCAAUUGAAAAUCUGAUAUAUUUACAAUCAAUUUCAACUGUUUUAAGACUAAAAGAUUGGUAAGCUAUAUAGCUAGAAAAAGCAAAUAGUACAGAAGUUUUGCCAGUGAUUGUAUGCAUUGAUGAGCAUGCAUUUGUGUAUGACAUCUGGUGUAAUACAGAUUGUUAGGAAUGUUUAUUCAUCAUACUACAGAUGUUAGUACAAUGAUGGGAUGUCUCUGAUGCUGUGAAUGAUUGUACUGCAAUUGAUGCUGAUUAAUUGAUGACUUUUGAAUACCACUUCAUUUUGAAAUGACUUUUGGAUAUUUGUGAUGUUGCAGGUUACGAUCUCUUUAGCAUAUACCCCACAUCUUCUUUCUAUUCAUAUUUUUCAUUGGCAUGAACCAAAGAUAAGCCAGACUGUUUUGCAAUACCAGAAAUUAUUGAUGAAAUUGAAUUUUGUCCUUCAAAAACAAGAUGUUGUGUUUCAGAUAGUCCUAGGAUUGGGUAGGUGUCCUUUCUGCAAGUCUGGUAGAAUUAAAAAAAAUUAGUAGAAUUAAAGGUAUAGCAGACUUAAGUGAGAAGACCACUUCAUUAAGAUUGAGAAUGGAAAUUGGAAAUGUGUCUUUUAAAGAGAAAAUUUACAACCCUUAAAUGAUGAGUAGAAAAACAGCCCAAUUGCCCUGUAUCUAUAAUCAUAAUAUCUCUAUUUAUAGUUGCCGAAGAAGCUACAUAACUUUCAACAAGUAUUUGAUAUUACAAAAACUUUUGAGCUACCACUUAUUACAUGAAUAUUCUGCAGCUGUUUAAAGCUUUGAUUUCCUGUCAGUUGAGUCUUCAUUUUUUCAGAAAAAAUUGAGAUAACAAGUCUGGUAUUAAAUUUUGGAAUACUUUCAAAACUAAAACUAUUUGAUAAGAAAUAUUUAUUACAUAAAAUGAAAGCAUGAAAGAUUAUUUUGAUAUUUAAUGAAAGCUCUGCAAUGUUACAUGAUUCAGCUUCCAAGAUUGCAUAUCACAGUUACAGGCAGCUUUGGAAUAAUUACUUAGCUGAGAUUUAUAAUAAAAAAAGAAUUGUGCAUAUGAAUGAUUAACUGGAACUAACUUUGUUUCAUAUUGAUAUAACAUGUUGUUUGGGGAAAAAAGGGGGAGGGGAUGGGAUACUAAACACACUAAUUAGAACUUGGUGCUUCUUUUAUGUAACAGCUGAGACUAGUUUACUUGUACAAUGACCGGGUCAUUGUAUAUGAAAGAACAGGCUGAAGGACAAAUAUUCAAUGGUCUAUAGAUAUAAGAAGAUGUGGUAAAAAUAUGACAUGUAUGAGUGUCAAUGAAACAACUCUUCAUCCAAGUCUCAAUUUAUAAAACUAAACCAUUAUAAGUCAAAAGUACGGACUUAAACACGGAGCCCUGGCUCACACUGAAAACAGCAAGCUAUAAAGGGUCCCAAAAAUUACUAGUGUAAAAUCAUUCAAACAGGAAAACCAAUGGUCUCAUCUAUAUAUAAAAGAACGGGAAACUAGACUUUCAAUUUUCAACUAAAAAAAUGUGCAUGUCUAAAUGCCAUAUAUCAACAUCCUUAAAGCCAAAGGAAAUUAAGUAAAAGAAUACUUUCUAUCAGUCAGUUGACCACAUAGUUUCCCAAGUAAAGGUUAUUGUUUUCACCUGUCUAGCACCUGUUUAUUGUUUAUUUGUCCUAACUUGUAACAAGAUAAUGUCACUUGUCAUAAAUGUUGUUUUUAUGGUAUUACUGUAAUUUACUGUUCUAAUAAGAAUAAGAGUAAGAAGAAUAUUUUAUUAUUCCAAUCAAGGGUUUAAUAUAAACUGACCACUGGACGAUUUUAUUGGGUCUUAAAUUGUAAGGAAGCAAAGCAUUUUGUUUGACUUUGUUGACGUUUGAGACGUAACUCAUACUAUACAAAGAUUACUAAAUUGAAAAUUUUAUGAGAUAAAAGAAAGAGUAACCUUUACAGUCUUUGUUCAUACUCUACAAUUCCAAAAAGUAACAUGACAAAUUGACAACACAAUUAAAUGAAAAAGAAAGUGGUCUAAACACCAUCUUCAUAGUAGGCUAAUGAUGUUAACGUUCUCAGGAUUGGAGCCGAAAACAUAAACGGGUUCAAAUGAAUACUUUUUGUCCACAUAGACAUGGAAAUACCAGGUGUCUGUCUGUCCGUCUAUCUGUGCGUCCAUCCAUUUGUCUGGUCUUGUUUGGCUGUGUUCUGGUAUGAUUAUCGGUACUAUAACUGGACAUUUAGAUGCAAUGACUAAUUGUAUGCCAGGGUUAAAAGCUUUCAUUACAGAGUUCAAAUAACUUAAUCCUUUUAAGUACAAUGCUACUGUUACCAAACACUUUAAAAUUAUUUUCAUAUUUGUUUUAUUACAGUUUACUUGCCCAGAGCAGCCUGGUUAUGUGGGAUUUGCCAAUCUUCCCAACCAAGUUCAUCGUAAAUCUGUAAAGAAAGGCUUUGAGUUCACUCUUAUGGUAGUUGGUAAGUAUGGAAACUUAGUGAAUGAAAAUUUUAUAGAUAGAUAUAAGAAGAUGUGGUAUGAGUGCCAAUGAAACUGAAUGAGUGAACUCUCCAUCCAAGUCACAAUGCAAUAAGUAAAAAACAUGUUUUGGACAUUCAUAAAGUCACAAUAUGUGAAUGUUUCUGCUAUCUUUUAAUUCUUUAUUUGAGAUAAGAAACCGAAGAUUUAAUGAUAAAAAAGGAAAAUUUUAGGGAUUAGAGCACAGCAAUAUGAAUGAGUAUACUCCAAUGAGACUUCAACCCAAAGACAUAUAUUUACCAAAAGACUUAAAAAGAAUUCAAAAUCCAGUCUUCAGCAAUACUAGUGGUUUUAUAAAUUGAAAUGGACAUCUGUUUAUUAUGUAUGCAUUUCUGUCAAAAUUUUCCUCUUCUAGAAGAGAUUCUUUCUUAUUUCUGGCAACAGGCUGUACUGUUCUUUUAUUAUCCCUGAUGUGUAUGAACUUUGCUUGCUUAACAAUAUUCGGUCAAAUCAUUAGUUAUAUAAACUAGAUCUUAUGUAUAUAAAUCAUGGAGGAGUAAAAAACUAAUUUGUUUAUAUAGUAAAGUGUAAUUUAUUUGUAUUAGAGGUGUUUUACAAGCGAACAGGUGACAUGAAAUCUUUGAGCAUGGAAGGUUUGAAACAGAAUAUAUAAUUAUUUAACAUGUUGACUAAUGAUUAUAUUAUACAAACAAGAUUUAUUUCCUCUUUGUUUGUUUGGGAUAAACAUGCCCAUGUCACUAACCAAGUUUGUUUGCUACGGUCAAAGUUAAAUUACAUACAUUUAGGUUAGUAGCUUUGUUUUUGAAGUGGUACAUUGGUCCAUUGGUACAUUUGUAAACAGUAGUUUUGUCCUGCAGAUAAGUCUGUUUACAUUUAAUGUUGUUACAAUGUAAGACAUGGACUCAUAUUAAAAUGAGGACGUGUUAUGAUUAUCACUGAGACGACUAUCCACCAGAGUACAAAUGAAGUGGUAGCAAGCAAUUAUAUGCCACUGUAUGGCCUUCAAUGAGAAUACACAAGUUCUGUAUGAAAGGCACCCACAUGUCAAAAGUGAGGCAAUUCAAAUGAGAAAACUAGUGGCAUAAUUUAUAUACAAAAUCAAAUAUAUUACAGAUAUUGGAAUCUGUACAUCUAUAUAUAUAAAAGGAAGAUGUGGUAUGAUUCCCGAAGAGACAACUCCCCAAAAGAGACCAAAUGACAUAGAAGUUAACAACUACAGGUCAUUGUGCAACCUUCAAAAAUGAGCAAAGCUUAUACCUCAUAGUCUGCUAUAUAUUAGUGAGUGUGUGUCAGUGACUUUUCUUACCUGUCAGAUACCCACUUACUGUUCCCUCACCCCAUUACCUCUGAUUUGUAAGCUGGAUUAGCAGGUCAAGUGCUGUUUGCAACAUCUUUUCUAUUGAAAUUUAUUAACUUUAGUUUGACCGUUUAUUUAUUUGAAAUUUCUAAAAUGAAAUAUGUUUUAAUCUUUUUCAGGUGAAUCAGGCCUUGGAAAAUCAACACUAGUCAAUAGUUUAUUUCUUACAGAUUUAUAUCCUGAAAGACAGAUACAUUCUGCAGCAGGUAUAGAAUUACUAUACAUGUCAGUGCAAAAUAUUGUACAGAUGCACAUUUUCAAAAUUUAUAGAAUGUCUUGUCUUACAUUUUGUAAGUUGUGAGGAGUAUGAUAUAAAACAUUUUUUAAGUUUAAAGUUGUAUUAAAUAGUAAAAAUAUAAAGGAAAACACAUCAUGAGUUAUAGCAAAAAGAAUCUAAGUUCUCAUUUGAUUAAAAAAUCUGAAAUUUCAGUUGAAAAACAACCAAAAAACAAUUGAUUCGAAGAUUUAUGGGAGAACAGCUCUAGAUACACUAUUUUACUGGCUUCAGGCUGCACCUGACAACAAAUUUAUACAUCAAGCAAUAAAGCUUUGUUAAACUCAAAAACACACUUUUUGCUAUGAUUAAAAUCAUAGUAAAACAUAUUUUUGGAUGCAUUCCAGUAGUAAUUAGGGAAAUAAAUAACAAUUUUGUCAAAAUAAGAAUAAAGGUUACCAUGACAAUAUAAUAACAACAAAGAAUUUGAUGUAUGGCCCAGACAGAGAAUUGAAAUUAUUUUCCAUAAUAAUAUUUAGAAUAGCUUGGCCUGAUGUUUAUAUUUCUGUCCACUUUAUAAUGGUCAGCUGGUUAAUACAUCAAACAGAUUGAUUAGAUUGUUACUUUUUAUAAACAAAUAGUAUAUUAUUAGUAAUAAAAAUAAUCCAUAUGUUUGUACUAAGUUGACUGAUGAAUAAGAAUGAAGACAAUGUAUUCUUAUUAUAAAAUGGCACAUAGUUUGAAUUAAGAAUGAAAAAAGGUACAAAAUACAUGUACCAUAUAUUUUCUAUUUAAAAUUAACUUAGAAAUGCCUCCAAAGUUGAAAUCACAUUAAAAAGUCAAUAUAAUUAAAUACCCUGUAUAUUACAAGAUCAGUUAUCAUGAAGGCAAUCGAUAGUUAUAGUUAUAUUUCUUGCUUCAGAUAGAAAAAGAAAGAAUGAUGUAUUAUUAUGUACAAUUUAUCUAGUUAUGAUUUAUUUUAAAAAUUGUACAAUUUCAUUUAAAUCUGAUUAAAAACUGUGUCAAAAUGUUAGCUGUUAAAAUAAAAAAAUGCCCAGCUUGAAUUUAUGAAAAUCUAAUGUACAUUCACCUGAAGCAUUUUGGUUCAUCUAUCUUAGGCAAUAUUAAUUUCAAUUCAUAUCAGCUCUAGAUAAAAAUAUACACAUUGAACAUAUAUAAGUUAUAAGAAAAUGGUUUAUAACAUAUAAAAAAGAAGAUGGGGUAUGAUUGCCAAUGAGAUGCCAAUGAGACAACUCUCCACAAAUGACUAAAUGACACUCAAAUUAACUAUAGGUCAUCAUAUGGCCGUCAACAAUGAGCAAAGCCUAUACUGCAUAGUCAGCUAUAACAGGCCCUGAAAUGACAAAUGUAAAACAAUUCAAAUGAGAAAACUAAUGGCCUAAUUUAUGUAAAAAAAAUGAAUGAAAAAACAAAUAUAUAACACAUCGACAAACGACAACCACUGAAUUACAGGCUCCUGACUUUGGACAAGUACGGUACAUACAUUGAGAAAAUGGUGGGGUUAAACAUGUUAGGGGGAUCCUAACCUGGGAUAGUAGUGUAACAGUACAACAUAAGAACGACCUAUAAAAUCAGUUGAAAAAGGCGCAACUCAUCAGAUGGAUACAAAUAGAAAUACAUCGAACUAAAACACAGAGCGGACAUGGCCAGGUAUGGUUCUACACAUCUUUGACAUGACUGUAAACGACUUAUUUACAGGACAGUCACCGUUGUGUUUAUCUAUGUAUUUAGAAAACUAUUAGAAAAGCAUUAAAAAUACAUGUACAUAAAAAGUAACAAUUUGACAUUUGUUUAUUUAUAGAAAAAAUCAAGCAGACAGUAAAGAUAGAUGCAUCUACAGUAGAAAUAGAGGAACGAGGUGUGAAACUGAGGCUGACAGUUGUAGAUACACCAGGCUUUGGAGACUCAUUAAAUUCUGUAGACUGGUAGGAAACAUAUCUUAUUUGCUAUAAAUAUUGAAGUAAAAAGUUUUUAUCCAGAGUCAAGUUUGAAUAGAGAGCAUACUGAAUUUUGUCUUAUUUUUGAAUGAAUUGUAAAUGAGAUGUUCAUAAAUAAUGAUAACCGUAUCUCAUCCAAGUAGAUUUUUUUGGGGGCUAUUCUGGAACUAAUUGUAUGGGGUUUAGUAGGCAAUCCAUAUUAAUAGUAUAAAGGUGAAGGAGUUUGAAACAACUUUUCCCACAUACAUACUAAAUUCCUUAACAUUUCUUACUAAAUAUCUACCAUAUAGGUCAUAAAAAGGUCAAGUUAUGAAAAAAGCCGAUAGCUGAAAUGUAUUGGUGAGGGUUUAAAAAAAUCCACAGGCAAUUACAAAAUCAACCUUCCGAAUGCAGCUUCUACACAUUUGAUUUAAGAAAUUGAGUGCAUGUCUACAGAAAUGGUUCAUGUACAAAGUAUUCUACAAUUCCUACUUUGUUAUGUAUUCAUCAUGAAAUGUAAAUUCUACAGCUUUGGGGAAAAAAGGAAAUAAAAUUUUAAAAUUCGGCAACAAUUAUAUGCAACUUUUAUAUUUCAGUUUUAAACCAAUCAUCCAGUAUGUUGAUGAUCAGUUUGAGAGGUAUCUACAGGAUGAGAGUGGACUUAACAGACGACACAUCAUUGAUAAUAGGGUCCAUUGUUGUUUCUACUUUAUAAACCCCUCAGGUCAUGGGUGAGUAAUUUAGAUGUAUCAUUGGAUAAGCCAGGGUUAAAUUUAGGCAUCAGUUGUUUACCAAUGUUCAAAUAUCACAAAUCUAUUAAGGAGACAAGAUAAUGGGCAAAAACUGAGGGGGUAGCAUGGAAAAAAAAAGUCUGGGUGCAUUGACAGGAUAAACUAGAUGCUUCAAAUGUAAUUUAUCAUCUGCAUUAAAACAAAGAAAAAAAAACCAGCAUCAAUAUCCUUGAAAGGAAAAUGUGAUAGAAAACAGAUAUGGGGUAUCGAUCCAUGCCACAAAAUCAGUUCAUGCACAGAAAAAAAUAAAAAAAUAAACAUACAAAAGCAAAGGAUCAGCAAUUUUAUUGCUUUUCUUAAUCUCAAAGUUACAGUGAGGCUUUCAACAUAGAGCAAAAAACUCCUACCUCACUGCAAGUUUAAGACUGGCCCUAGAACCGGCUUAAGCAGAAUUCUUUGCACAAAUAAUUUGGAUGAUUAUAUAUAUUCUGUGUUAUUUGUGCAUGGACAUCUGAAUGGGGAAAUUUAAUAUCUUACCCAACUGUUCCUGAAAUUACAACAUUACUCAAGAAUAUAAAUAACUCUAAUUUUAUAAUGCAGUUUUGCAAUUUACCUUUCUGUCAAUAAUUUAUACAUACAUCAUGGUAUGAUGAUAAAUGAAAAAUCAGGAAAUCAGAUUGGUAAAUCAAAGGAAUAAAAAAUAAGAUAAAUUGAUACAUUUAUAGAGUGAUAGGUAAUGCUAUUAUGAUGAAUUGAUUAGAUAAAGUAUACGAAAGGUAGAUAAACAAGACAAGAUAAGAUGGUUCCCUACAUGUAAAAUCUAAAAUCUAUAUUAGAACAAGCUUUGUUACAAAGCAAGCAGAGUUAUUUCCCAUUUAUUAAAAAAAUUAAAGAAAAACCUUUAGGAGAAAAUGAGUUGCUUCCCUUUCUUUUACAAUGAUUUUUUUCCUGUAUAAAAUGAUACUUUUAUUAAUAAUACAUUUUUUUAGUUCUGUUCAUUUAUUAUGCUAAUAUAUUGGAAGAUGUAAACCAAUGAGACAUUCCAAAUAAAAUUUUUAAAUUAUUCAAACUAUUUCAGUGAAUAAUUUGUUUAUGCUGACUGCUUUAUUUCAUUCAUUUCAUUGACGGAAAACUAUGUUAAAAGAUUUGACAAUUUUUCUAAAUUUUCAGGUUACGCCCCCUUGACAUCACAUUCAUGAGAGCAGUCCACCAUAAAGUCAACAUUGUACCAGUAAUAGCUAAAGCUGAUACCCUCACAAACAGGAAGUUCCAAAGA